This 386-nucleotide ribosomal RNA is filed under the name uncultured bacterium. Its description in RNAcentral is "bacterial SSU rRNA". It matches the Rfam family "Bacterial small subunit ribosomal RNA", at positions 29 to 441 of the family's 1533-position model. The record is from RNAcentral.
AACGAACGCUGGCGGCAGGCCUAACACAUGCAAGUCGAACGCGUCCUUCGGGACGAGUGGCAGACGGGUGAGUAACGCGUGGGAACGUACCCUUUGGUUCGGAACAACAGCGGGAAACUGCUGCUAAUACCGGAUAAGCCCUUCGGGGAAGGAUUAUCGCCAGAGGAUCGGCCCGCGUUAGAUUAGCUUGUUGGUGAGGUAAUGGCUCACCAAGGCUACGAUCUAUAGCUGGUCUGAGAGGAUGAUCAGCCACACUGGGACUGAGACACGGCCCAGACUCUUACGGGAGGCAGCAGUGGGGAAUCUUGGACAAUGGGCGGAAAGCCUGAUCCAGCCAUGCCGCGUGAAUGAUGAAGGCCCUAGGGUUUGGUAAAAAUUACUUUUCG